RNAcentral lists this ribosomal RNA (253 nucleotides) under uncultured bacterium. Its description in RNAcentral is "partial 16S ribosomal RNA". It matches the Rfam family "Bacterial small subunit ribosomal RNA", at positions 524 to 776 of the family's 1533-position model. The record is from RNAcentral.
UACGUAGGGACCGAGCGUUGUCCGGAAUCAUUGGGCGUAAAGAGCGUGUAGGCGGCUUGCUAAGUCUUGCGUGAAAUCUCGGGGCUCAACCCCGAGCGGUCGUGGGAAACUGGCAGGCUAGAGUGCGGGAGAGGAGAAUGGAAUUCCUGGUGUAGCGGUGAAAUGCGCAGAUAUCAGGAAGAACACCAAUGGCGAAAGCAGCUUUCUGGGACGGUACUGACGCUGAGACGCGAAAGCGUGGGGAGCGAACAGG